RNAcentral lists this ribosomal RNA (253 nucleotides) under uncultured bacterium. Its description in RNAcentral is "partial 16S ribosomal RNA". It matches the Rfam family "Bacterial small subunit ribosomal RNA", at positions 524 to 776 of the family's 1533-position model. The record is from RNAcentral.
UACGUAGGGGGCUAGCGUUGUCCGGAAUCAUUGGGCGUAAAGAGCGUGUAGGCGGCCCGGUAAGUCCGCUGUGAAAGUCGGGGGCUCAACCCUCGAAUGCCGGUGGAUACUGUCGGGCUAGAGUGCGGAAGAGGCGAGUGGAAUUCCUGGUGUAGCGGUGAAAUGCGCAGAUAUCAGGAGGAACACCGGUGGCGAAGGUGGCUACCUGGACCGGUUCUGACGCUGAAGCGCGAAAGCGUGGGUAGCAAACAGG